GGUUGUAGCUCAGUGGUGGAGCACUUGCCUAGCACAUGUGAGAUUCUGGGAUUCUGGGUUCGAUCCUCAGGACCA
Molecule: transfer RNA, 75 nt
Filed under: Marmota monax (woodchuck)
Lineage: Eukaryota; Metazoa; Chordata; Mammalia; Rodentia; Sciuridae
Description: tRNA.Ala
Source: RNAcentral